Zea mays is the source of this 1143-nucleotide long non-coding RNA. RefSeq lists it as uncharacterized. NCBI's taxonomy places the organism in Eukaryota, Viridiplantae, Streptophyta, Magnoliopsida, Poales, Poaceae. The record is from RefSeq and is a predicted model, not a curated record. The transcript has 2 exons.
GUUGUUCACUGUGAGUCUGAAGUCAGUGACCGUGAAUUGAAAGGCCCAAGGCCCACCGCCCAAGCAGCAACCAGCGUCCAGCAAGCGACUAAGCGAGCCAGCGAGGCGUAGGGCAAGCCGCCAACCCCAGCCGGUAAGGCAACAUGCGUCUGAGCGAGACAGCGAGACAGCGUAAAGGGGCGGCCGGCGGCGGGGUCCUGUAGCACGCUACAGUGAUGUGAGGCGCCGCCACCAAGCCGGGUGAGGCACCACCGCUUAGAUCCAGCAGAGCUCCAGGCGCCGCCAACCCCUGCCUCCAGCUCUAGGCGUCAUCGAGGCGUCGACCGCUGCCUCCAGCUGGCUCGCAGGCCACACUGCGCCGACUUGGCGACUCGGAUCCAGUCGUCGACGCCCCCUGCCACGCUGCGCCGCCGCCCUCUGCCUGGGCACUCGUGACCUGCGUCCAAGAAUGCAGCAGCCCCACCCCGGCGUAUCAGGUCCCAACAGCGGGCACUCCUCUGCGACCACCAUCGUCGGCUCAUCAUCAGCAGCAAGAGGCACCUCACGCCCGAACCCUCGAUCCGUGGCCCCGUCGUGCAGCCCCUCGCCCUCUUCUAUGCGCCAUGGAUGUCGAUGAUAUUUGUGACAUUGACAACAAUGUGUCCCAUGAAGAUGAAAUACAUGGUACCGGGGAGGAUGCUAAUGGUAACAACAGUGAACACAUGGUGGAGGAGGACCAUGUUCCUGCACCUAUUGGUAGUGAGGUGAAUGUCCUCUGCCAACAAGUUAUUCGUGGAAAAACAAGUCCAUAGAUGGAGACCAUCGUGUAGUGAAGCGACAACUAACAACCAAGUCAACCAAUACCCCAACAAGCAAGUUUAUGGCACCUUCAUUUAAAGCAGCAAGGUCAAACGACAACAUGGAUUUAGUGCCACAAUUGCCAUGCUAGAGUACUAUAUUGUAUGAUGUAAACUUAUUGAUAUAUUGUUAUGUUAGAGUACUAUGUUGUAUGAUAUAUACUUAUUGUUAUAUUGUCAUGUUGGACCAACUGAAUUAUAGCGAAAGUAUGCAUUAUCCGAUAAGUACAUGUUAUCCGCAAUGUAUCCGGCUACACAAUAUUUGUAUCCGUCCCUUAUUCGCCCGAAUAAAUAUCCAGUCCCUAUA